This is an RNA transcript of Phoenix dactylifera (date palm), 1254 nucleotides long. It is a transcript of the gene named post-illumination chlorophyll fluorescence increase, with no coding region annotated. The record is from RefSeq and is a predicted model, not a curated record. NCBI's taxonomy places the organism in Eukaryota, Viridiplantae, Streptophyta, Magnoliopsida, Arecales, Arecaceae.
UUCGGCGUUCACCACAACUUGUGGUGGUGACUGCCAAGUGCCAAGCUGUGCCCGCUUAUUCUUCUCAUACUUCCUCGCUUCACCCACACAACACCUCUCGCGCGAUGGCGGCGUCGCUGCUGCCUUUCCGUUCCUACUGCUCGCCUCCCGCCGUCGCUUCCUCCACCUCCGGCAAGGAGUUGUCGUCCUGUCAAGCUAUUAAUUUUGUCAGUGCUUACUUUCCAAAAUAUGGCCGAAAGCAAAGGUUUUGUAAGACGGUCCGCAAAGUUAGUGCUGUUGCAGUGCCUUCCACAGAGGAACUCAAAGAGUAUUCUCUACCUACUUGGUCUGAAUUUGAACUAGGGAUGGCUCCUGUGUUCUGGAAAACCAUGAACGGCCUUCCUCCUACUUCUGGAGAGACUAUAACACUCUUCUACAAUCCUGCUGCAAAUAAUUUGUUUCCAAAUGAUGAAUAUGGGAUUGCAUUUAAUGGUGGAUUUAAUCAGCCUAUCAUGUGUGGUGGUGAGCCAAGAGUAAUGACAAGGAAAAAUCGUGGGAAAGCCGACCCUCCGAUAUUUACCAUUAAGAUACGUGUUCCUAAACAUGUUUCAAAUUGUGCAGCUGUUAGCCUGAGUUUUUCGUUCACAAAUGGAGUUGACUGGGAUGGUCCAUACAGACUGCAGUUUCAACUUUUAAAGAUGUGGCGAAACAAACCAAUAAGCUUUUUCAAUGAGAAUCAUCUCAUGGUCAUAUCUGCUCGUGAAUGGUGUGAUGACCAAGUGAAAUCCACGCAUGACACCAUAUAUUGGCAGAUGGAAUGUUUUGAAAGUAAUGCAUACACAGGGUCUGGCAGAAGAAUUGAGUGUAGAAGGUGCCUGUGACAGAGCAGUUUUUCCAGAUUCAAACAAUGUGAUUGCAAGUUGUGCAAUUGGCAACUUGUACUCUGAAGGAGGAAACCGCUGCAAGUUGAACCUUGUCCCAGGCUGCACGGAUCCAAGCUCGCCAUUGUUUGAUCCUUUAGCAAAUGUGGAUGAUGGGUCUUGCCCAUUGGACUCUGAUUCAGAACAAGAAUAAUAUAGUCCACUGAGUAGUCAACAGUUCAGGUAAAAUGUAAGCAGAAUUUAAGUGCACUAGUCAGAACUGAUUGGGAAGUGAAACUUUGAGAUCUGCAAAAGAUGUAUAUACAAAUUCUGCUUGGACAUUACAUUGUUUAUGCAGCAGCUUUGAUUCUUUCAACACAGUUGAUAAUCUUCUUCUUUAUUAUUAUUAUUAUUA